AUUGAACGCUGGCGGCAGGCCUAACACAUGCAAGUCGAGCGGAUGAAGGGAGCUUGCUCCUGGAUUCAGCGGCGGACGGGUGUGUAAUGCCUAGGAAUCUGCCUGGUAGUGGGGUAUAACGUCCGGAAACGGGCGCUAAUACCGCAUACGUCCUGAGGGAGAUAGUGGGGGAUCUUCGGACCUCACGCUCUCAGAUGAGCCUAGGUCGGAUUAGCUAGUUGGUGGGGUUAAGGCCUACCAAGGCGACGAUCCGUAACUGGUCUGAGAGGAUGAUCAGUCACACUGGAACUGAGACACGGUCCAGACUCCUACGGGAGGCAGCAGUGGGGAAUAUUGGACAAUGGGCGAAAGCAUGAUCCAGCCAUGCCGCGUGUGUGAAGAAGGUCUUCGGAUUGUAAAGCCCUUUAAGUUGGGAGGAAGGGCAGUAAGUUAAUACCUUGCUGUUUUGACGUUACCAACAGAAUAAGCACCGGCUAACUUCGUG
This 484-nucleotide ribosomal RNA is filed under the name uncultured bacterium. Its description in RNAcentral is "partial 16S ribosomal RNA". It matches the Rfam family "Bacterial small subunit ribosomal RNA", at positions 30 to 507 of the family's 1533-position model. The record is from RNAcentral.